Molecule: ribosomal RNA, 243 nt
Filed under: uncultured bacterium
Lineage: Bacteria
Description: partial 16S ribosomal RNA
Rfam family: Bacterial small subunit ribosomal RNA
Source: RNAcentral
AGGGGGCUAGCGUUAUCCGGAAUUACUGGGCGUAAAGGGUGCGUAGGUGGUUUCUUAAGUCAGAGGUGAAAGGCUACGGCUCAACCGUAGUAAGCCUUUGAAACUGAGAAACUUGAGUGCAGGAGAGGAGAGUGGAAUUCCUAGUGUAGCGGUGAAAUGCGUAGAUAUUAGGAGGAACACCAGUUGCGAAGGCGGCUCUCUGGACUGUAACUGACACUGAGGCACGAAAGCGUGGGGAGCAAA